This 468-nucleotide ribosomal RNA is filed under the name Triticum aestivum (bread wheat). RNAcentral describes it as "partial small subunit ribosomal RNA". The record is from RNAcentral. Lineage: Eukaryota; Viridiplantae; Streptophyta; Magnoliopsida; Poales; Poaceae.
AUGCUUACGAGAAAGGAGCACCAUCACAAGGACAGCAAUUUAGUAGCCAGCAAGUAUGUACUCCAAAGACUAUUUGUUUUUACAAUAUCACAAAUAGGUGUCAUGGAACCUCAUUCAUUUAGCUAUUGUUAUCAACGGGGUUUUAUUUUGUUUACACAGAUUGAAAUGGUAGUUGAAGUCAUGAAUGCACGCAUUGCUGAUCAUGAAAAGAAGGUAUGCAGGAAGUUAAUGGAAAUUGAGCACAGAUUUGAUGUCAAAUACCAGACUCUAGGUGAAGACUUGAUCGACAUGAAGACUAAAACUGGCACUAAUCCUAGGUUGUCGAAGGCCGAGGAUGAAAUUAAAGACUUAAGGAGGGAACUCCAUGUAUGUCAUACUGUGCAUUUUGUAUUUUUUAUGAAUAUGCUCCUUCAUGUUCAUUUCAAUGUGUGCAAUUCAUCCCUGACAGGAACUCCUAGGACUAGCUAA